RNAcentral lists this ribosomal RNA (605 nucleotides) under uncultured Lecanicillium. RNAcentral's name for it is "SSU rRNA". It matches the Rfam family "Eukaryotic small subunit ribosomal RNA", at positions 161 to 774 of the family's 1831-position model. The record is from RNAcentral. Lineage: Eukaryota; Fungi; Ascomycota; Sordariomycetes; Hypocreales; Cordycipitaceae.
GAGCUAAUACAUGCUAAAAAUCCCGACUUUGGAAGGGAUGUAUUUAUUAGAUUAAAAACCAAUGCCCUCUGGGCUCCUUGGUGAUUCAUGAUAACUUUUCGAAUCGCACGGCCUUGCGCCGGCGAUGGUUCAUUCAAAUUUCUUCCCUAUCAACUUUCGAUGUUUGGGUAUUGGCCAAACAUGGUCGCAACGGGUAACGGAGGGUUAGGGCUCGACCCCGGAGAAGGAGCCUGAGAAACGGCUACUACAUCCAAGGAAGGCAGCAGGCGCGCAAAUUACCCAAUCCCGAUUCGGGGAGGUAGUGACAAUAAAUACUGAUACAGGGCUCUUUUGGGUCUUGUAAUUGGAAUGAGUACAAUUUAAAUCCCUUAACGAGGAACAAUUGGAGGGCAAGUCUGGUGCCAGCAGCCGCGGUAAUUCCAGCUCCAAUAGCGUAUAUUAAAGUUGUUGUGGUUAAAAAGCUCGUAGUUGAACCUUGGGCCUGGCUGGCCGGUCCGCCUCACCGCGUGUACUGGUCCGGCCGGGCCUUUCCCUCUGUGGAACCUCAUGCCCUUCACUGGGUGUGGCGGGGAAACAGGACUUUUACUUUGAAAAAAUUAGAGUGC